AAAUUGCUCUAUAUAUAUAUAUAUAUUUUUUUUUUCUAAAAUUUUCUCAUAAAAUAACUUUUUGAGAAAAUAGUAAUAUUUUUUACAAACUUAUACUUUAAAAACCAUAAAAAUAAAAAUUCUCCUAUUAAAAAAACAUAUAUAAUUAUCUAAAAAUUAAAAGAAAUAUUUAAAAAUUGAUAUGAUAUUUAUUCAACAAUAAUAAACGGUAUUGCUUUAUUGAUGAAACAAAUUACACAAUUUGGUAUUUAUUAACAAUUUUGUGUAUUUAUAAAGAUGUUUCUUUUCUUUUACACAUUUUUUUUUAUUUAUAAACAUAUAUUUUUUUUUGUAUUUAUUUAUUUACAAAGAGUUUUUAAUUUUUACACAAUUUGAUUUUUAUUUAUAAAUAGUUUUUUUUAUUAAAUAUUUUAAUUAGUAAAUUUAUUGUCAUAAACUUAUUUGUUUAUUUAAAAUGAUUUGUAUAUUUAACAAUGGAAUUUUUACACUAAGUGACUUUUUUUACCAAUAUUUAACAUUUAUAUUUGCUUUCUCUUUUUUUUACAUUUUUACAUUUUAAAAUUUUCUCUAAUACUAUUAUAAAGUUUACUAAUUACAAUUAUACGAAAAGUGUUAUUUUUCUUUCUUCUUCCUCUAUUCACAUAUAUUUAUUUAGAGUGGUAGCCAUCUCUAUCCUUCCAUCUCACUUUCAGCCCCUCUUGUCUCCAUUCCUCCCGUCUCCAUUCCUCCCAUCUACAUCCCUUCUUGCCAUGCAAAACUUCUUCUUAACCUUCCUAUGGCGCAGUCUAAGGAGAAAGAAACACUCUCUGAGUUUCUUCAUCUCUUGGUCAAAUCAUCUCCAUCUCUUUCAAACUUCUUUUUGCUACUAUUGAUAUAGUUUCAAGCUCUGAUUUGUGGGUGAUAUAAGACAUCUGAUGUUGUUGAUAAGUUGAAGCUUCCAAAGAAAAAUAUUGUCAAGGUUUAUAAUUUGUUUUUUUUUUAUUUGUAUUGUUUGAAAUGUUCUCUGGCUAUAGUUCAUUCAUUUGAAAAAAAUAUAUAUAUUUUAUAGUAGCAAGUUGUUUUAUAGUUUGUUUAAUGUUGUUUUGAUGCUGUUUUACUUGCUACAAGACUUGAUUUUUAGUGAUGAUAAACUUCAAAAUUGAUCAGAAUGAAGUUAGUGGCAUACAUCAAAAGUGUACAAGAAAAUGUUCCAAAGUCUUUCAAGAAGGUUGGAGUUACUGUGCAUGAAUUAACGAUUGAGAAGGAAGUGUGUUUCGUUUUGGUUGUAUAUGCUGAAGAGCGACAUUUUUUUUUUUAAGAAACUUUACUUUUAUAUAUUUUUUUUAAAUUUUCUCUAGUUAACUUUAUAUAUAUCUUGUACGAGAUAUUGAAUAUUAUAAUUUCUUUUUAAUUGUUUAUAUCUUUUACUACAUUAAGAAACAACAAUUAUUAUAUUUUUAAUUUAUACAUCAA
Molecule: long non-coding RNA, 1452 nt
Organism: Cannabis sativa
Lineage: Eukaryota; Viridiplantae; Streptophyta; Magnoliopsida; Rosales; Cannabaceae
Exons: 2
Source: RefSeq, a predicted model, not a curated record